AAAUCUUUCAACACCAUGCCAAUUUUCAUCUUAAUCCAAUUGAUAGAACUUCAAAUAUCAUAGAAACCCUAUCCAACCUCAAACUGCCACCUUCCGAAAUCCUCUUGUGCUAAAAAUUAGAUAUCUCUAAACUAUGCUAUUAGAUGAUUAUAAAAUUUUGUAUACACUUAGCACACCUGAUAAUCUAAAUAGUUUCAAAUUUUCAAUCAUAAAUAUUACACCAAUUGCACGAACUAACCAAAAUUACUAGCCCUAAUUAUAUUAUAUAAAACCCAAAUCACUGAUACAAAUCCUGA
This 296-nucleotide long non-coding RNA is filed under the name Physcomitrium patens. RNAcentral describes it as "long non-coding RNA (PPAT_LNC014359)". Lineage: Eukaryota; Viridiplantae; Streptophyta; Bryopsida; Funariales; Funariaceae. The record is from RNAcentral.